Molecule: RNA transcript, 1078 nt
Organism: Mastomys coucha (southern multimammate mouse)
Lineage: Eukaryota; Metazoa; Chordata; Mammalia; Rodentia; Muridae
Gene name: adiponectin receptor protein 1 pseudogene
Exons: 1
Source: RefSeq, a predicted model, not a curated record
AUGUCUUCCCACAAAGGCUCUGCCUUGGCACAGGGCAAUGGGCUCCUUCUAGUGACAGAGAGGCUGACACAGUGGAGCUGGCUGAGCAGGGACCCCUGCUGGAAGAGAAGGGCAAGCGGGCAGCCACCAGCCCAGCCGAGGCUGAAGAAAAACAACAAGCCCAGCGCCUCAGGAAGAGGAGGAAGAGGUGCGGGUACUGACCCUCCUUCUGCAAGUCCACCAUGCCAUGGAGAAGAUGGAGGAGUUCGUAUAUAAGAUCUGGGAGGGAUGUUGGAGGGUCACUCCAUACGAUGUGCUUCCUGACCGGCUGAAAGACAAUGACUACCUGCUACAUGGCCACAGAUCACCCAUGCCCUCCUUUUAGGCUUGCUUCAAGAGCAUCUUCUGCAUUGGCAACAUCUGGACACAUCUGCUUGGUUUUGUGCUAUUUCUUUCUGGGAAUCUUGACCAUGCUGAGACCAAAUAUGUACUUCAUGGCUCCCCUACAGGAGAAGGUGGUCUUGGGAUGUUCUUCCUUGGUGCAGUGCUCUGCCCUAGCUUCUCCUGGCUCUUCCACAAUGUCUAUUGUCAUUGAGAUAAGGUCUCUCGGACUUUUUCCAAACUGGACUAUACAGGGAUUGCUCUACUGAUUAUAGGGAGUUUCAUCCCCUGGCUCUACUACUACUCCCCACAGCCAAGGCUCAUCUACCUCUCCAUCGUCUGUGUCCUAGGCAUGUUUGUCGUCAUUGUGGCACAAUGGGACCAGUUUACCACUCCCAAGCACCGGCAGACAAGAGCAGGAGAGUUCUUGGGACUUGGCUUGAGUGGUGUUGCACCCACCAUGCACUUUACUAUCGCUGAGGGCUUUGUCAAGGCCACCACAGUGGGCCAGAUGGGCUGGUUCUUCCUCAUGGCUGUAAUGUACAUCGCCGGAGCUGGCCUUUAUACUGCUCGGAUUCCUGGAAAAUUUGACAUAUGGUUUCAGUCUCAUCAGAUUUUCCACGUCCUGGUGGUGGCAGCAGCUUUCGUCCACUUCUAUGGGGUGUCCAACCUUCAGGAAUUCCGUUACAGCCUAGAAGGUGGCUGUACCGACAGAUAA